UGAUCACGUCUCAUGACCAAUCUUUUGAGUCCUCAGGAGCUACGAAAUCCUAACAGCAUCACUCCUUCCUAAUGCAACAAUCUUUAGAGAAUUUAACUUCCAAAACACUAGAUUUGCCCCUAGCUUGAUUUUAUUUUUCUUCCUCUAAUUAUUCAUCUAUUUAUGCUGAUUAUAUACUUACAUAAACCAAUUCCAAUUAUUUUUGAUGUCAAGCCAGAAUGGCAAAUGAUAAAAUAGAAUUAACUUCAUGUUAAUGUUUUUGCCAUAAUAUUUUUGGCUAGGAAAAUCUAGCAUGACGAGAACAGAAAUU
This 310-nucleotide long non-coding RNA is filed under the name Bos taurus (domestic cattle). Its description in RNAcentral is "long non-coding RNA NONBTAT029935". Lineage: Eukaryota; Metazoa; Chordata; Mammalia; Artiodactyla; Bovidae. The record is from RNAcentral.